GGCGGGUCUCCCCGCAUUGCACCGUAGUGAAACUGGUCAGGUCCGGAAGGAAGCAGCCACAGCUAUCACGUGCAAGUGCCGGGGGUUAGGCUCGCCACC
Molecule: signal recognition particle RNA, 99 nt
Filed under: Crenobacter intestini
Lineage: Bacteria; Pseudomonadati; Pseudomonadota; Betaproteobacteria; Neisseriales; Neisseriaceae
Description: Bacterial small signal recognition particle RNA
Rfam family: Bacterial small signal recognition particle RNA
About the family: The signal recognition particle (SRP) is a universally conserved ribonucleoprotein involved in the co-translational targeting of proteins to membranes. Archaeal SRP consists of a 7S RNA and homologues of the eukaryotic SRP19 and SRP54 proteins.
Source: Rfam by way of RNAcentral